Molecule: small nucleolar RNA, 132 nt
Organism: Peromyscus maniculatus bairdii (prairie deer mouse)
Lineage: Eukaryota; Metazoa; Chordata; Mammalia; Rodentia; Cricetidae
Product: predicted gene, 25663
Source: Ensembl
UUGCAUGUGGAAGUACCCUCUCCUUCCCUUUGGAGCAGGAAUACAUCCAGAACAUGCUACAUUACAAGAGGAGUUCUCAGGGCUGCCAGCCUUGCAGCAGAGGCUGAGUGGUAGUAUAUUUCUCCUACACAA